This 1306-nucleotide ribosomal RNA is filed under the name bacterium. Its description in RNAcentral is "bacterial SSU rRNA". It matches the Rfam family "Bacterial small subunit ribosomal RNA", at positions 61 to 1377 of the family's 1533-position model. The record is from RNAcentral.
GUCGAACGGUGAAGCCCAGCUUGCUGGGUGGAUCAGUGGCGAACGGCUGAGUAACACGUGAGCAAUCUGCCCCUGACUCUGGGAUAAGCGCUGGAAACGGCGUCUAAUACUGGAUACGAACCGUGGAGGCAUCUUCAACGGUUGGAAAGAUUUUUUGGUCAGGGAUGAGCUCGCGGCCUAUCAGCUUGUUGGUGAGGUAAUGGCUCACCAAGGCGUCGACGGGUAGCCGGCCUGAGAGGGUGACCGGCCACACUGGGACUGAGACACGGCCCAGACUCCUACGGGAGGCAGCAGUGGGGAAUAUUGCACAAUGGGCGAAAGCCUGAUGCAGCAACGCCGCGUGAGGGAUGACGGCCUUCGGGUUGUAAACCUCUUUUAGCAGGGAAGAAGCGAAAGUGACGGUACCUGCAGAAAAAGCGCCGGCUAACUACGUGCCAGCAGCCGCGGUAAUACGUAGGGCGCAAGCGUUAUCCGGAAUUAUUGGGCGUAAAGAGCUCGUAGGCGGUUUGUCGCGUCUGCUGUGAAAUCCCGAGGCUCAACUUCGGGUCUGCAGUGGGUACGGGCAGACUAGAGUGCGGUAGGGGAGAUUGGAAUUCCUGGUGUAGCGGUGGAAUGCGCAGAUAUCAGGAGGAACACCGAUGGCGAAGGCAGAUCUCUGGGCCGUAACUGACGCUGAGGAGCGAAAGGGUGGGGAGCAAACAGGCUUAGAUACCCUGGUAGUCCACCCCGUAAACGUUGGGAACUAGUUGUGGGGUCCAUUCCACGGAUUCCGUGACGCAGCUAACGCAUUAAGUUCCCCGCCUGGGGAGUACGGCCGCAAGGCUAAAACUCAAAGGAAUUGACGGGGACCCGCACAAGCGGCGGAGCAUGCGGAUUAAUUCGAUGCAACGCGAAGAACCUUACCAAGGCUUGACAUAUACGAGAACGCUGCAGAAAUGUAGAACUCUUUGGACACUCGUAAACAGGUGGUGCAUGGUUGUCGUCAGCUCGUGUCGUGAGAUGUUGGGUUAAGUCCCGCAACGAGCGCAACCCUCGUUCUAUGUUGCCAGCACGUAAUGGUGGGAACUCAUGGGAUACUGCCGGGGUCAACUCGGAGGAAGGUGGGGAUGACGUCAAAUCAUCAUGCCCCUUAUGUCUUGGGCUUCACGCAUGCUACAAUGGCCGGUACAAAGGGCUGCAAUACCGUGAGGUGGAGCGAAUCCCAAAAAGCCGGUCCCAGUUCGGAUUGAGGUGUGCAACUCGACCUCACGAAGUCGGAGUCGCUAGUAAUCGCAGAUCAGCAACGCUGCGGUGAAUACGUUCCCGG